This 320-nucleotide long non-coding RNA is filed under the name Cavia porcellus (domestic guinea pig). RNAcentral's name for it is "lncRNA (ENSCPOG00000033216.1)". Lineage: Eukaryota; Metazoa; Chordata; Mammalia; Rodentia; Caviidae. The record is from RNAcentral.
GUUCCACAUGUGAGUGUUGCCUUCCCUCCUGCCUUAUGAAUUUCAGAUCAGCAGUGGAGCUGCAGGUCCAAAUGAGGACCCACAUAGUCAACACGUUAGUCAAGUGGAGAGACAUCAUCCUCCUUGUCUGGUGCCACAUCAAGGGCCUGUUGUCCCAGGAGAGACUUGUUAAAGAUGAAGGGCAGAGCCACCAGGUUCGUGCUGUGUGGCGUGAAAUGGCUGAGUGCAUCACCCUCCAGCUCAGCCCUGAGCCAAAUUCGGAGGCCUCCGUUGGAUUGAGGAACCCACCUGAGAUGGAGCACGCUGUUCCCCCAGAGUAA